RNAcentral lists this ribosomal RNA (497 nucleotides) under uncultured bacterium. RNAcentral describes it as "partial 16S ribosomal RNA". It matches the Rfam family "Bacterial small subunit ribosomal RNA", at positions 28 to 507 of the family's 1533-position model. The record is from RNAcentral.
GAUGAACGCUGGCGGCGUGCCUAAUACAUGCAAGUCGAGCGAACAGACGAGGAGCUUGCUCCUCUGACGUUAGCGGCGGACGGGUGAGUAACACGUGGAUAACCUACCUAUAAGACUGGGAUAACUUCGGGAAACCGGAGCUAAUACCGGAUAAUAUAUUGAACCGCAUGGUUCAAUAGUGAAAGACGGUUUUGCUGUCACUUAUAGAUGGAUCCGCGCCGCAUUAGCUAGUUGGUAAGGUAACGGCUUACCAAGGCAACGAUGCGUAGCCGACCUGAGAGGGUGAUCGGCCACACUGAAACUGAGACACGGUCCAGACUCCUACGGGAGGCAGCAGUAGGGAAUCUUCCGCAAUGGGCGAAAGCCUGACGGAGCAACGCCGCGUGAGUGAUGAAGGUCUUCGGAUCGUAAAACUCUGUUAUUAGGGAAGAACAAAUGUGUAAGUAACUAUGCACGUCUUGACGGUACCUAAUCAGAAAGCCACGGCUAACUACGUG